Molecule: ribosomal RNA, 253 nt
Filed under: uncultured bacterium
Lineage: Bacteria
Description: partial 16S ribosomal RNA
Rfam family: Bacterial small subunit ribosomal RNA
Source: RNAcentral
UACGUAGGGUGCAAGCGUUGUCCGGAAUUAUUGGGCGUAAAGAGCUCGUAGGCGGUCUGUCGCGUCUGCUGUGAAAACUCAGGGCUUAACCCUGAGCUUGCAGUGGGUACGGGCAGACUAGAGUGCGGUAGGGGAGACUGGAAUUCCUGGUGUAGCGGUGAAAUGCGCAGAUACCGGGAGGAACACCGGUGGCGAAGGCGGUUCUCUGGGCCUGUACUGACGCUGAGGAGCGAAAGCGUGGGGAGCGAACAGG